GGAGUUAGAUGCGUGGUGGAUGCGGGCUGGGUGCGGGGGUGGAUGCGGGGCUGGGUGCGGGUCUGUGUGCGGGCCGGGUGGUCUCGCGUGGGCGCAGCAGUGCGGGGCUGGCGCGCAGGAGCGGACGCGGGCGGCGCUGCUGGAGACGCUGCACGAGGAGCUGCAGGCGCGCAGCCAGGCCAUGCUGGGGCUCAGCCCCGACGAUGAGCGCCCCGACAACGGCGGCGCCGCCCCGGGCUUCUUCGAGUCCUUCAAGUCGCUGCUGGUGCCCGGGAGCCGCCGGGGACGCCGCGGCAGCGCCAUCGGGCUGGGCUCGGUGGAAGAGGCGCUGCUGGUGCCCGGGAAGAGCCCGUCACGGCGGCGGCCCGGCCCCCUCGGCUCCCGCCGCUCCAGCGCCAUCGGCAUCGAGAGUAUCCAGGAGGCGCCGGCCGGCAGGGACAGCCCCGCAGCCGCCGACGGCUCCAGCUCCACACACAGCUCCCCCGAGAGCCGCCGGAACCCCGACAGGUCCCGGGGCUGGCACCGGGAUGGGGACACGGGGACAGGAGGGCACUGGGGGGGGGAAUGUUUGGGACUGGAAGACACUGGGAUGGUGUGGCAACGGGACAGGGUGGCACCAGGAUGGGGUGACUCCAGCACCAGGUGACACGGGGACUGGAGGACGCUGCGAUGGCGCAGCUCAAGGACGGGGUGGCACAGGGAUGGGCACUGGGACAAGUGAAGGUGACACAGGAGGGAUGGGACAGCAAAGGAAUGCAGAGGGACAGAGUGGCGGCAGGGUGGGGUGGCACAGGGACAAGGUGGCACCAGGAUGGCUGGCACAGGGCAGCAUGGGAACACCAGAGGGACAAGGUGUCACAGGGACAGGCUCACCCAGGGGCUGAGUGGCACCGGGUCCGUAUGUCCCAGGGACAAGGUGGCAGCGGGCUGCGGGGUGGCACUCGGGUAGCUUGGCUGCAGGGUGGCAUGAAGGUGGGUGGCACAGGGACACAAGGGACAUGGGGACAGGAUUGCACGGGGCUGGCACCUCCCAGGGCUGGGAUGGGAUGGGGUGGGGACAGGGUGCCACAGGGAUGGGACAUGCCGGGGCCAGGGUGACAUGAGGAUGCAGUGUCCCGGCCGGGGUGGUGUGGGGACAGGGUGUCCCGGGGCCAGCACAGCAUCGCAGCGGGGCCACGGUGGUGGCCACGAGGCGCGGUGCCAGCCUGUUGUGGCCUUGGGGACCGUCCCUGGCCGUGGGGACUGUCCCUGGCAGGGCCGAGAAGCCGGAGCCGCCGGAUUUCUCCCGCUCCUCCUCCAGCGCCAGCAGCUUCGGCAGCGCCGCGGAGGAGCCCGGCGAGCCGGGACGGGUACGGGGAGCCCGGGGUGGGCUCCGGGGGGGCACUUUGGGGUGGGCAGCACCCCCUGACCCCCCUGUGCCCCCUCAGGAGAGCCGCUCGCCCUCGGGGAGCCACCGCGACGCCUUCACGGACACCCCCUGGCCGGAUGAGCCCCCCGGGACCCCCCCAGGUAGCCCAGCACCCCCGGAUCGGGGCACUGCAGGGCUGGGGGCUCCUCGGGGUGCUCACGGUCCCCCCUUUGCCCCAGGCCGCCGCCCGCCUGACUCCCCCUGCCCUGAGAUCAAAAUCCAGCUGGAGCAGCCCCCCCAGAACCCGGUGAGGCUUUGCCCCCUUCACCCGUGCAGAGUGGGGGUGCCCACCGUGGGGUGCCCCCACUGAUGUCCCUCCCACAGGGCUCAUAGUCACCCCCCCACCUGCGGGGGUGCCACUGCUUCACCCCCCUCUGUGUGCCACCCCCGUGCCAGGAGCUGAAGCCAUCGUCCCCGGUGCAGGACUUGGGGGGGGGGGNNNNNNNNNNNNNNNNNNNNNNNNNNNNNNNNNNNNNNNNNNNNNNNNNNNNNNNNNNNNNNNNNNNNNNNNNNNNNNNNNNNNNNNNNNNNNNNNNNNNNNNCGUGACCCCAAAAUGAGGAGUGGGUCCAACCCCAGCAUCAUCCCCUCCCCUAAAAAACCAGAGGGGACUCAAAUCCAGGGUAACCCCAAAGUGGAGCUCCCUCUCCCCCCCUUUAUUUUAAGGGACAAAAGUUCCGGAAUGUGCCGGAGGCUGGAACUGGGGGGAAGGGGGAGGAAUAUUUUUUCACACCCUCCCAAAACUGUGUUUGUGUUUCCCGUGAGUCCUGUAUAAAAUAAAGGUUUAUUUAUCGCUACA
This 2205-nucleotide long non-coding RNA is filed under the name Junco hyemalis (dark-eyed junco). RNAcentral describes it as "lncRNA (ENSJHYG00000006219.1)". Lineage: Eukaryota; Metazoa; Chordata; Aves; Passeriformes; Passerellidae. The record is from RNAcentral.